UCAGAGAACAAAAAGAACACAGGA
RNAcentral lists this non-coding RNA (24 nucleotides) under Drosophila melanogaster (fruit fly). The record is from RNAcentral. Lineage: Eukaryota; Metazoa; Arthropoda; Insecta; Diptera; Drosophilidae.